This 546-nucleotide ribosomal RNA is filed under the name uncultured bacterium. RNAcentral describes it as "bacterial SSU rRNA". It matches the Rfam family "Bacterial small subunit ribosomal RNA", at positions 93 to 654 of the family's 1533-position model. The record is from RNAcentral.
UAGUGGCGAACGGGGUGAGUAACACGUGAGAAACCUGUCCCGAAGACGGGGAUACCCAUGGGAACCCGUGGAUAAUACCCGAUCCCCUCGUUGCGGUGCAUGCCGCGACGAGGAAAUGCUCCGGUGCUUCGGGAGGGUCUCGCGACCUAUCAGCUUGUUGGUGAGGUAACGGCUCACCAAGGCUUCGACGGGUAGCUGGUCUGAGAGGACGAUCAGCCACACUGGGACUGAGACACGGUCCAGACUCCUACGGGAGGCAGCAGUGGGGAAUCUUGCGCAAUGGGCGAAAGCCUGACGCAGCGACACCGCGUGGGGGAGGAAGGCUUUCGGGUUGUAAACCCCUUUUCUCGGGGAAGAGUAAGGACGGUACCCGAGGAAUAAGCCUCGGCUAACUACGUGCCAGCAGCCGCGGUAAUACGUAGGAGGCGAGCGUUGUCCGGAUUUACUGGGUGUAAAGGGCGAGUAGGCGGCUUGCCAAGUCUCAUGUGGAAUCUCCCGGCUCAACUGGGAGGGGUCAUGAGAUACUGGCAGGCUUGAGGUCAGCAG